CAAUAACCUCAACAUUAAUUAAGUUUUCUUGGAACAAAAAGAUGAAUUGUUCAGAUAUUAAGACAAAUUGGAUUUUCAUCCUCUCUGAAUUUUGGGCUAUUUCAUUAAAAACUGGUGGAUAAAGGUAGAGAAGGAAAGAAGAGGCAACGCUGAUGUUGAAAAGAAGUGGGUGGAAAACUGGGCUACAUUUGCAAUCUCACGGGGAAAUUGAGAGAGGAACAGGGAGAGAUAAGCAUACACAAACCCCAGCAUUAGAGAAAUGCGGUGUAAAAAAAGAAAGAGUCUGCCCUUUUUUAAGGUAAGGAAGAGAGGGCAGAGAAUAAGGAGCAGUGCUCAUUUUUGAGUCAGCAGUCGCAGUACUCUUUGAAAAACAGGACACGCACCUGGUAGGGAAGAAAAAAAGUGUGCUUUUGGAAACCACAGUGAGCCCAGACCACAUAUUUUGCUCUAAAGAGAACAGAAGGCCAAAUGCUGCCUCUCAACUGGCUUUUUUCUGCAUGAGCCUUUCCUUUUUAACCUCCUGAUCUUUAGUGCUGGAGGUAUCACUGCCUCUGAAAUUUCCCCAUGAGCACUUUUAACAUCUAACCUGUAUGUGAUAUCGCACCAUCUGGAUUCUUUGUUUUCAUCCUCAUCCCACCUAUUGGUAGCCAUCCUUAUUUUAUUUCUUCCUUAAGUGUGCUACUUCGAGAAGCUAAUUAUGGGUGCAACGACCCCCAAGGCUGUUAAAAGUACCUUGUCACCAGCUCGGUUUGCUAUGGCGUAUAUGAGGUCAAGUGCAAUUAAGACUAGCAAGUCGAACCUCUCUUUCCUUCCCUCUAAUUCUCGCUCUUUUUCUCGCCGACAGGCUCUGACAGUUUCUCCUCUGUGGGUGAGAAAGUGAGAGAUCAUGACACAGACCAUCAAUAACAGAUGGAGGGACCACAAGUAGGGGGGAUUUUACAGUGGCACAUUUCAUCUAAUUAAUUCUUGUCAAGUCACUCAAAGUCAAUACCUCUGAAAGAUAGGAAAUCUUUAC
This 1015-nucleotide long non-coding RNA is filed under the name Sinocyclocheilus grahami. RNAcentral describes it as "lncRNA (ENSSGRG00000029879.1)". The record is from RNAcentral. Lineage: Eukaryota; Metazoa; Chordata; Actinopteri; Cypriniformes; Cyprinidae.